This 471-nucleotide ribosomal RNA is filed under the name uncultured Lactococcus sp. Its description in RNAcentral is "bacterial SSU rRNA". It matches the Rfam family "Bacterial small subunit ribosomal RNA", at positions 300 to 782 of the family's 1533-position model. Lineage: Bacteria; Bacillati; Bacillota; Bacilli; Lactobacillales; Streptococcaceae. The record is from RNAcentral.
CUGAUCGGCCACAUUGGGACUGAGACACGGCCCAAACUCCUACGGGAGGCAGCACACGAGGAUACGNANGNNANCUGAUGAGCAGCGCUGAUGAGAGGUCUCGGAUCGUAAGCUCUGUUGUUGGUGAAGAAGGAUAGAGGCAGUAACUGGUCUUUAUUUGACGGUAAUCAACCAGAAAGUCACGGCUAACUACGUGCCAGCAGCCGCGGUAAUACGUAGGUGGCAAGCGUUGUCCGGAUUUAUUGGGCGUAAAGCGAGCGCAGGCGGAAUGAUAAGUCUGAUGUGAAAGCCCAGGCUCAACCGUGGAACUGCAUCGGAAACUGUCAUUCUUGAUGCAGAAGAGGAGAGUGGAACUCCAUGUGUAGCGGUGGAAUGCGUAGAUAUAUGGAAGAACACCAGGUGGCGAAGGCGGCUCUCUGGUCUGCAACUGACGCUGAGGCUCGAAAGCAUGGGGUAGCGAACAGGAUUACG